This 72-nucleotide transfer RNA is filed under the name Camelus bactrianus (Bactrian camel). It matches the Rfam family "tRNA". From Rfam's summary of the family: Transfer RNA (tRNA) molecules are approximately 80 nucleotides in length. Their secondary structure includes four short double-helical elements and three loops (D, anti-codon, and T loops). Lineage: Eukaryota; Metazoa; Chordata; Mammalia; Artiodactyla; Camelidae. The record is from Rfam by way of RNAcentral. RNAcentral also lists the same sequence under 1 other name.
GAGGGUAUAGCUCUGGGGUAGAGUGUGUGCCUAAUAUGCACAAGAUGCUGGGGUCAAUCCCCAGUACCUCCA